This 492-nucleotide ribosomal RNA is filed under the name uncultured bacterium. RNAcentral's name for it is "partial 16S ribosomal RNA". It matches the Rfam family "Bacterial small subunit ribosomal RNA", at positions 29 to 507 of the family's 1533-position model. The record is from RNAcentral.
AGUGAACGCUGGCGGUAGGUCUAACACAUGCAAGUCGAACGGCAGCACAGUAAGAGCUUGCUCUUACGGGUGGCGAGUGGCGGACGGGUGAGGAAUACAUCGGAAUCUACUUUUUCGUGGGGGAUAACGUAGGGAAACUUACGCUAAUACCGCAUACGACCUACGGGUGAAAGCAGGGGAUCUUCGGACCUUGCGCGAUUGAAUGAGCCGAUGUCGGAUUAGCUAGUUGGCGGGGUAAAGGCCCACCAAGGCGACGAUCCGUAGCUGGUCUGAGAGGAUGAUCAGCCACACUGGAACUGAGACACGGUCCAGACUCCUACGGGAGGCAGCAGUGGGGAAUAUUGGACAAUGGGCGCAAGCCUGAUCCAGCCGUACCGCGUGGGUGAAGAAGGCCUUCGGGUUGUAAAGCCCUUUUGUUGGGAAAGAAAAGCAGCAGGUUAAUACCCCGCUGUUCUGACGGUACCCAAAGAAUAAGCACCGGCUAACUUCGUG